RNAcentral lists this ribosomal RNA (460 nucleotides) under uncultured bacterium. RNAcentral's name for it is "partial 16S ribosomal RNA". It matches the Rfam family "Bacterial small subunit ribosomal RNA", at positions 338 to 795 of the family's 1533-position model. The record is from RNAcentral.
CCUACGGGUGGCAGCAGUGAGGAAUAUUGGUCAAUGGACGCAAGUCUGAACCAGCCAUGCCGCGUGCAGGAAGACGGCUCUAUGAGUUGUAAACUGCUUUUGUACGAGGGUAAACGCAGAUACGCGUAUCUGUCUGAAAGGAUCGUACGAAUAAGGAACGGCAAACUCCGUGCCAGCAGCCGCGGUAAUACGGAGGAUUCAAGCGUUAUCCGGAUUUAUUGGGUUUAAAGGGUGCGUAGGCGGUCUGAUAAGUUAGAGGUGAAAUCCGGAGGCUCAACUUCGUAAUUGCCUCUGAUACUGUUCGUCUAGAGAGUAGUGGCGGUAGGCGGAAUGUAUGGUGUAGCGGUGAAAUGCUUAGAGAUCAUACAGAACACCGAUUGCGAAGGCAGCUUACCAAGCUACUUCUGACGUUGAGGCACGAAAGCGUGGGGAGCAAACAGGAUUAGAUACCCGAGUAGUC